RNAcentral lists this ribosomal RNA (465 nucleotides) under Vreelandella stevensii. RNAcentral's name for it is "partial 16S ribosomal RNA". It matches the Rfam family "Bacterial small subunit ribosomal RNA", at positions 338 to 795 of the family's 1533-position model. The record is from RNAcentral. Lineage: Bacteria; Pseudomonadati; Pseudomonadota; Gammaproteobacteria; Oceanospirillales; Halomonadaceae.
CCUACGGGGGGCAGCAGUGGGGAAUAUUGGACAAUGGGGGCAACCCUGAUCCAGCCAUGCCGCGUGUGUGAAGAAGGCCCUCGGGUUGUAAAGCACUUUCAGUGAGGAAGAACGCCUGGUGGUUAAUACCCAUCAGGAAAGACAUCACUCACAGAAGAAGCACCGGCUAACUCCGUGCCAGCAGCCGCGGUAAUACGGAGGGUGCGAGCGUUAAUCGGAAUUACUGGGCGUAAAGCGCGCGUAGGUGGCUUGAUAAGCCGGUUGUGAAAGCCCCGGGCUCAACCUGGGAACGGCAUCCGGAACUGUCAAGCUAGAGUGCAGGAGAGGAAGGUAGAAUUCCCGGUGUAGCGGUGAAAUGCGUAGAGAUCGGGAGGAAUACCAGUGGCGAAGGCGGCCUUCUGGACUGACACUGACACUGAGGUGCGAAAGUGUGGGUAGCAAACAGGAUUAGAUACCCCGGUAGUC